UAUGGCUUGUCACCCCAUGAAAAAAUAACUGCUGGAGGAUUGAAGGAUGAGUAUAUAAAGAAAACUUAUGGAAAGUCAGAGAAGUUAUCAACAUCAAUUGCUAAGACUCUCUUAGAAGGAUCACAUAUUAUUGAGCAAUUCAAUUCUGAUUCUCCAUCAAGUUUCAUUGACAUAGCACAUCAAGUUGGAAGCUGUGGAUUUGAAUAUGGCACUGCAUGGGGUCAAAAGUUAGGCUGGCUAUAUGGUAGUGUAACAGAAGAUGUCCUUACUGGACUCUUUAUCCAAUCAAGAGGCUGGAAAUCCGCCUACUGUUUACCCGACCCGGCUGCUUUUCUUGGAUGUGCACCUACAGCUGGGCCUGCCACAAUGAUCCAACAAAA
RNAcentral lists this unclassified non-coding RNA (380 nucleotides) under Hevea brasiliensis (rubber tree). The record is from RNAcentral. Lineage: Eukaryota; Viridiplantae; Streptophyta; Magnoliopsida; Malpighiales; Euphorbiaceae.